CGGGUGAGUAAUGCGUGACCAACCUCGCCCCACUGCUCCAGAAUAGCUCUUGGAAACGGGUGGUAAUGCUGGAUGCUCCAACUUGACGCAUGUCUUGUUGGGAAAGUGUUUAGUGCGUGGGAUGGGGUCGCGUCCUAUCAGCUUGUAGGCGGGGUAAUGGCCCACCUAGGCUUCGACGGGUAGCCGGCCUGAGAGGGCGGACGGCCACAUUGGGACUGAGAUACGGCCCAGACUCCUACGGGAGGCAGCAGAG
Molecule: ribosomal RNA, 253 nt
Filed under: uncultured Gardnerella sp.
Lineage: Bacteria; Bacillati; Actinomycetota; Actinomycetes; Bifidobacteriales; Bifidobacteriaceae
Description: partial 16S ribosomal RNA
Rfam family: Bacterial small subunit ribosomal RNA
Source: RNAcentral